CUCCACUAUAUACAGCUCGGGCUGCAAAACGAGUAAGCCAUGCAGGAACUUCUUGAUUUGCUUCUUGCAUCAACUCUGACAAAGAUCUAGCCAUAUUGGAAUUAUUCUCGUUAAAAAAUGCAGUAGCAAGACCAGACUUGCCGGCUCGUCCAGUUCGUCCUAUACGGUGUACAUAAUCAUCAAUAUCAUUUGGAAGAUCAAAAUUGACCACGUGUGCAACAUGCGGAAUGUCAAGGCCCCGUGCUGCAACAUCUGUAGCAACCAAGAUUGGAGUAUGACCACUUUUAAAUGAUCGCAAGGCUUGUUCUCUUUCCUGCAGAGACAACCUCCAAAACACGAUUAUUGACCAGUACAUAUUAAUUGCACUUUCUGGAACUUGUAUACAUAAACAUCUUCUCCACAUACGCACAAGCACAUACAUAUGAUAGACAUACACGCCUACUUACUGAUACCUAGAUGCCUACAGGGGCCGUCUAGCACUAGACAGCCUAUUAGUCACUAGGCAAGUGGUCAAACCCGAUGUAGUUGAUUAGUUAUACACCAUAUUCUAGCCUAUAUAUGCACAACAUAUACAGUUUCACUGUCAAAUAUUCAACGCUUGAUAAUUUACUGCAAAAUAUAGACAAAUCUCAAACAACUUAAUAUUCACGUUCGGAUUAAAGAAAAUGGAGCAAGGCUAUGACAAAAAGCCCAUUCUGGUUUUCCUUGUUAGUAUUACAUUAUGUGAGCAUCAUUAAGUUACUUCUAUAUUCAUAAUGAUAUAAGAGGACUACUAAGAACAAAGUUGAUGACCGCUGUACCUAAUAGAGCAUUUGAAAUAAUAGAAAUUCAUUCGUAGCUAAUACAGGCAGUGGCACUAUAAAAAAGUAUGCAAUCAAAACACCAAAAAUUUGAGCAAGAUUACCAUCUGUGAUCUAUCACCAUGGAUAGUAGUAGCAGGAAAGCCAUUACUACACAGCCAAUAUUCGAGUGAAUCAGCUCCUUUCUUUGUUUCCACAAACACCAACGUGAGAGCUUGCUGAAAGAAGAGGAUGAGUAAAUCUAAUAAUCAGUAUAAGAUAUUAGGUUUGCAAAAAAAAGUUCACCGUCUGAUAGAAGGAAGAGGAGAAAUGAAAUGUAUUGCAUCGUGGGAACAGGAAAACUAAUGAAGAUCAGGAAAUAUUAUACUAUGAGCUUCAGAUGUCCAAGCAUCUCUACCACAGAAUAAUGGCUAUAUAUAAUGCUACCAGACCUAUACAUACGGUAGUAAUAUGCAAGAGUGUGAAUGGAUGUGAAAUUUAUAAGUAACUACAAAGAGAUCAAAAUUAAUCAGAUCCUCAUUCAAUAUUUAAUAACAAGUGUGAGUUUAUAAUUUAAUAUAUGCAAUAUUUUAAAAUUAUAAUAAGAUGAUACUUGUUUCUAAUCCAGUUGGUCUACUCUGCCAGAGGAUAGUAUUACACUAGAAAAGAGCAUCCACCAAGAUAACAGCCACUGGCUAGUCAGCUUUUAAGCAAAUUAAUAUUUAUGAUUGAUUCUAGUGUGAAACCCUUUGUAGACACCUUGCUUUCUACCAUCUGAACAAUUAAAACACGACUAAAAUGCCUAAACAUGAGCACGGUUGGAUAGCCCAGCGGUUAAGGGUUUAUCUUCUGUUGGCCCAGGUUCUGGGUUCGACUCUAGCUCACCUUGAGAAUAUCUUAGAACAGAUACUCAAAUUGUAAGGCUAUAAGCCACAAUAGUCAAAAAAAAGAUGCUUCUAAACAUAAGUGUCAACAGAUAUCUUGUUGGCUUUUUACAAGAUACCUAAUAUCUUAAGUUAAUUUUGUUCUAAGUAGGAAUCAAACAAGAAGUCUAUAAUAAUAGCUUAAACCCAUCAGUCUCUGCAAAAUAUUGGCUGAUAGAUUCCAAGAAGCUCCAGAACAUAUAUCACAAAAGAAGUAGAGCAUGUGUAUACUGCUGAAAAUUUAAGUAAUCAGUGCCUCAGUCACAUUCCAUGAGCAAAAGCUCGAAAGACAAAAGGUCAAAAAAAAAUUACCUUUCCAUGAGUGCCAUUUGCCCUCUGUGCAUGGAGAAGGUCCAUGAGAUGGCUUCUUUUAUCACUCUCCUGAACAUAUUCAACUCGUUGCAUAAUUAAAUCGGUACUUGACCCAACUCUUCCAACAGCCAAAAAGAUGUAAUUAGCUAGAAAAUCAGAGGCCAGUCUCUGCAAAUCAAUAAAGUUGCAAACAUAUCAAAUGCUGAUAUCAUCCUUUUGGAGGCACAAACAUGCAAAUAGAUGAAUUAACCAGAUAGAACAGAAAUGGAGACGGGGUUCUCGACCAAUUUCAUGUCUCGGACUUAAAAAAAGGACAGCAAAAAACAAAAGACAAAGCCUACAAGUUUGUAAACCUUUUAAUAAUAAAAUCAUAAUAGAGGAUGAAAAGGGCUAGUUAUAGUCCAUGUUGUAUAACAUGUAAUCAAAGAAAACAAUGCCUUUAGAACAUUGUGUACCUGUAUCUCUUUUGGGAAGGUAGCACUGAACAACAUUGUCUGCCUCAUACCAGGCGGAGGCAUAUCCAUUUGUUGCACAAUUUUCCUAAUUUGAGGUUCAAAACCCAUGUCCAACAUCCUAUCUGCCUCAUCCAGAGCUAAAUAUCUAAUCAUCUGUAAUGAGACUCUAGCUCUCUCCAGCAGGUCUACCAACCGUCCAGGAGUUGCCACAAGAAUGUCAACACCCCUCUCCAGUUCACGGAGCUAGCCAAAUCAAACUUACUUUAGUCGCCAUAAAAGGAAAUAAUUAUAAUGACAAAUUCAUAAGAACCUUCCACAAUAGCCAUAUUGCACAGCACAUAUGACAUGAAACAAAUAACCUACUAUAGUACACUUGCAGGUCAUUCAUUUGUUAGCAUUUAUUGUGUGUGUGUGUGUGCGCGUGUGUGUGUGUGUGUGUAUCUUGUUAUUAAAUUAAAGGCUCUUACAAAUAUAAAUGUCCCCAACCCCAAUAAACUAUAUGAAACAGUAUGACCUAAUCUACCAAUUCAGUGACUCAAGCUAAAAGUCUAAGACUAAUACAUGUAUAAAAGGGAGAUAUUAAAUCAAUUCUUCCAAAUCAGCUAUUUAGAUCUUACAAGCAUGUAGAUAAUAGAUUGCAGGGACUACGAAUAGUUAUUGUCGAGUUGGAUAUCAUUGUCCCCUGGACGGACACAGCAGUUUAGUCCAGCAGUUUCGAAAUAAUGCAGUCGAAGUAAAAAUCAAGAAACAUUAAAUCCAAAGAACAAUCCAUCUUCACAAAGGAAAAGUUAAGAAACAAAAAAUUCUAUGUUGAUCUAAAUAUUGCCGAUUAAUUAUCAAUUUGGUCAUUAAAGUGGAGACGAGAUAUCACUUUCAUCACCAAUUUCAACGGGGUAUCAUCAAAAUCACUUUAAAUUAAUAUACAUGUCAUGUAGCCAACCAUUAAAAUUUAAACAUGAGAAAAAUAUAAACUGAAAUGAUUAAAAUCCUAUGAAAAAUCAUUAAAAUGUAUAUUAUGCAUAAAUUUUCAUCUGUAGGUGGUAUCAUGCCAAACAAAUGAGUUUUAUGAUGAUAAAACUCUUUCUACAUUUAUUUUGCAAGAUUAAAAAAUCAUUACAAAAAUACAAAACUAUUUAUUAUAAUAUGAAAUAUUAUCCGAGAAAUUAGAAUUUAAAAAUAUUUGGUUGACUAUGGUAGCAUGUAAAAU
This 3676-nucleotide long non-coding RNA is filed under the name Daucus carota (carrot). RNAcentral's name for it is "long non-coding RNA (DCAR_LNC004858)". Lineage: Eukaryota; Viridiplantae; Streptophyta; Magnoliopsida; Apiales; Apiaceae. The record is from RNAcentral.